Long non-coding RNA from Echinops telfairi (small Madagascar hedgehog), 861 nucleotides. RefSeq lists it as uncharacterized. Lineage: Eukaryota; Metazoa; Chordata; Mammalia; Afrosoricida; Tenrecidae. The transcript is spliced from 3 exons. The record is from RefSeq and is a predicted model, not a curated record.
AGUGCCUGAUGGGUUUGAACUUAUGACCUUUUGGUUAGCAGGCCAAAUGCUUGCUUACCACUGCCACCAAGCCACUCUCACAAACACUGUAGGAGUCUUAAUACUGAAUUCUAAUUAAACUUUACCUUUACUGUCUUAGAUAGGUUACUGUCACACGGCUGAAUGUAACAUAGUCUUCUCUCUUUCCUCAUUUCACAGUUGCUAUUUUCAUUGGUUACCCUGUUGGAUAUCCCCAGCCCACAUGUUCUGGAACAAGGUGUCCACUUUGUUGCCUGCACAAGACAUUUUCUUUUCCGGAUAAGAGGGAGAUUCCUGUCUUGAAACUGCACAUAGAACUGAGAAGAGGAAGCAGAAACUGUGAAGACAAUUUAGGGGCCGUGAAUGAUUGAAUGUGGCUCUUCUAGUCAAAGUCUCCACUCCCACUAAACGACCUUUGCAUGCGUGGAGAUGGUAAGAAGGUGCGGGAAGAUACUGAUAGGAUUCACCUGGGAGUAAUUUUGAACAGAAUUCUCUAGCGUGGCAUCCAGCUGUGUAUAAAAUGAGCUCUCUGAGAAGCAAGGGGAGGGAUCUUAUUACCAGUAUGAGCCAGGAGGAGAGCAUGUCAUCUGGAUCCGAGAGUCCUGCGCAGUGAACCCUCUGGGUCCAGAAGACAGAUAUAACAUCCGAGUAGCAGCAGCAGAACCAGGAGCCAGAACAAGGAACAGCGGUGGACAUCCUAACCCAGAAGGCGCCUUUGGAGCCUGCCUGCGUCUGUGUCCAGGAAGAACAAUCUCGGCCGGUACCUGCUUUCCAAACAAUACCAGCAGUGAGUGUCCUGCUCUGGAGGUAAUCACACAGCACUGUGAGGGAGCUUUUGGCAAU